GCAAUAACAGGGAUUGUAUUUCAUGAUAGAUGUAUAACGUUUUAGAAUCAAAAACUUUAAUUCAUAUAUUAUACUUAUAAAUUUUGAUUUCCUUAUAUCUUAUAUAUUCAGAAAUAAUGAGUUCACAAACUAGAUGGAAUAAUUUUUAUACGCUCGUCUUAGUCGGGAAAUAAAAUGGUAUAAAGAAGUCCGUCCAUGCUUUUGUAUAUCCGGUCUGUCAACAGUAGUAAAUGAGUUCGUUACGGCAAACUUCUGAAAUUGACGUGAUAAAAAAACCACACUUAUAUAGUCUGAUAUAGUCAAAUACUCUGUAGUUAUCCAGUGCCAUCUUUCAUUUCUUUUUUUUUCAAUAAUUUUGCUUAUGAGGGGCAGAGGACAAAAACAGAUUUUCCUAACAAAAGCGGCGAGAAAGGUUAUUUCAAACAAUUUUCCAUUCCGACGGAUGGGGUUUCUGAAGGUUAUUAUUGUGAGGCAACAACAUCAUAAGAUCUGAUACUGACACGUGCAUUUAAUCUCUUGUAUUACCGGAUAAUAAAGUAGGUGAAUAUAGCUGUUAGUCUUGGAAAUUUAAAUGUGGGUUUCAAACGUCCAAUUUGCGAUUGUUUUCAAAUAGUGCGCCAGCAAGGAAAGUUUGUACUAUGACGUCAGAUGCAAUGUU
RNAcentral lists this long non-coding RNA (658 nucleotides) under Mytilus galloprovincialis (Mediterranean mussel). The record is from RNAcentral. Lineage: Eukaryota; Metazoa; Mollusca; Bivalvia; Mytilida; Mytilidae.